This is a long non-coding RNA of Chinchilla lanigera (long-tailed chinchilla), 348 nucleotides long. RefSeq lists it as uncharacterized. NCBI's taxonomy places the organism in Eukaryota, Metazoa, Chordata, Mammalia, Rodentia, Chinchillidae. The transcript is spliced from 2 exons. The record is from RefSeq and is a predicted model, not a curated record.
CUCCACCCUCGCCACUGUCCCCUUCCGAUGUUCCGGCUGCCACAUGCACGGACAGCCUGGUGACAUGAGUCUGGGGCCAGCGGAGACACAGGGUCUUGCUAUGUAGUUCAAGGUGGCCUCGAACUCACAGGGAUCCUCCCGCCUCAGUCUCCAAGUGCUGGGAUUACAGACGGGCACCACUACAUCCGGCUCAGCCUCAAAAUAGGUACAGAAAUUUAAAAAUGCAAAGUUAAAAACCUAUAUACCACUCCCGGCUUGUCAUGUUUGUCCUGCUUAUAUUUUCUGAAAACUAAUAUGUGAGUGCUGAAUCUAAUAAUACUAAUACUAAUAAAACUGGGGCUUGUGUUU